Molecule: ribosomal RNA, 501 nt
Filed under: uncultured bacterium
Lineage: Bacteria
Description: partial 16S ribosomal RNA
Rfam family: Bacterial small subunit ribosomal RNA
Source: RNAcentral
AUUGAACGCUGGCGGCAUGCCUUACACAUGCAAGUCGAACGGCAGCACGGGUGCUUGCACCUGGUGGCGAGUGGCGAACGGGUGAGUAAUACAUCGGAACGUACAUUAACGUGGGGGAUAAUGCAGCGAAAGCUGUGCUAAUACCGCAUACGACCUGAGGGGGAAAGCGGGGGAUCGCACGACCUCGCCCGAUUAGAGCGGCCGAUGCCUGAUUAGCUUGUUGGUGGGGUAAAAGCCCACCAAGGCGACGAUCAGUAGCUGGUCGGAGAGGACGAUCAGCCACACUGGGACUGAGACACGGCCCAGACUCCUACGGGAGGCAGCAGUGGGGAAUUUUUGACAAUGGGGGCAACCCUGAUCCAGCAAUGCCGCGUGAGUGAAGAAGGCCUUCGGGUUGUAAAGCUCUUUUGUCAGGGAAGAAACACCGGCUCUAACACAGUCUGGGAAUGACGGUACCUGAAGAAUAAGCACCGGCUAACUACGUGCCAGCCGCCGCCGUAA